ACUGAAGUGGUGGAAUUGGCAGACACGCUGUCUUGAGGUGGCAGUGAAAUAUUUUUUCUUGGGAGUUCAAGUCUCCUCUUCAGUA
RNAcentral lists this transfer RNA (85 nucleotides) under Reclinomonas americana ATCC 50284. RNAcentral's name for it is "tRNA-Leu". Lineage: Eukaryota; Jakobea; Jakobida; Histionidae. The record is from RNAcentral.